UCUAUAGACUGCAAAUACAAUCUACAAAGUUAUUAGUCCACUCUAUGCAUUUCUGCUGAUCAAUUAUCAGUACUUGUCCAUGCAGAAUAUCAUUUCAUUCAUUGUCUGGCUUCUUAAUUAUUUUUGGGGGGGAGGUGUUUACUUAACCUACAUUACUAUUUCCCCAUCUAAAAUUUACUCAGUCUCUUCUUUGUUCCAGUUUUUGUACUUUCCUAUCAGGUUUCUUAAGAUAAACCCUGCAGAAUUAUUGCAUAAUUUUUACUGAAACCAACUUCAAAGGACAUUUUUAACUAAUUGCCAAGUUAAGAUCCCUUCACUCAGCUAAAUAAAUGUCUGGAUUAAGGGUAUUCAGCUGAACUAAGCUUGGAUAAGUAUGUGAUAUUGAACUAAAGGGUAAAGCUAUUUCAUACUGUAGUUAGAAUCUCCUUAUAACUUCAUAAAGCUGAAUUGUUUAGUUAGAUUCAGGUGGUUAAUGCUUCUUUGAGAGAGAGAUUUGAUCUGGCUGCCUUGAAAGAAGAAGUGGUGUGCCCUUCCAGAAAAAGCAUCUUUCAGUCUGUUCGUAUUAGACAACUUUUGCCCAGUUUCCAAUCUUUCUUUUUGAGAAAGUUGGUAGAAAAGGAGGUGCAUGAGUAUGGGAUGGAAACUGCAUUGGUUGCUCAAAUGGAUGACCUGCAACCUUCCUAAUUUUAUUAGAUCUUUAAUGGCAUCUGAUACCAUUGAUAAUGGUAUCCUUGUGGACUGCCUGUGUGGGUUGGAGGUGGAUGGCACUGUUUUAUAGUUGGUUUCACUCCUUCCUAAAUGAGAGGUUCCAAUCAGCGAUGCUGGAGAACGAGCAGCUGAGGUACCACAGGGCUUAACUCCUGUUUGGACAGGAGGCCUCGGCAACAGUAACUCAUGCCCUCAUCACCUCUAGGCUGGAGGUGCAUGCACUUUAUAUGCCACUGUCCUUGAAAACUACCCAGAAACUGCAAUCAGUUUAGAAAGUAGCACCCUGCCUGUUGGUAUUUGAGAGCCACUGUAACCAUGUAAUGCUGCUGUUGCACUGGUUAGUAAUAGAUUCCCAAGUACAGUUCAGGAUGUUGGUUUUAACUUAUAAAGGCUUGCAUGGCUUGGCUUUUAAGUGCCUGCCUAUCCUAUUUGUUCAACUAAGAGGGGUUGUUUUGAGUUCCUACACUUUGAGAGUUAUAGAGUGACAUAGAGGCAGAUCUUAUCAGUCAUGGACUAUUCCUUUGCAGUAAUCCCCCUUCCCCCCAAGUUCAUCCCUUCAUCCAAUGCUACACUAAAGUCCUUCAGGAAGAGAGUGAAAACUGUUCUUUUCUAAAGGGUCUUCAGAUUGGACUGAAUACACACAUUGCCUGUAUGGGAAGGGUGCUAAUAGUUGAUUUUUUAACAUCAUAAUUUAGUUUAUUUUUGUUUUUUAUAUUUUAUUUGUUAUUUAUUUGUUUCAUUUAGUAUGUUAGGUACAUGCUUCUAUUGUAUUGUAUUCUAUUGUAGUCAACUGACUGAAGUCACUGUGGAAUAAAGAGGUAUAUAAACAGCAUAAUAAAAUAAAUGCAUAUUCAUUAUGACACUGCUUUCUAAAUCUAUCCUUCGCUAGGAUGGGUUCCAAUUGUAAAUUUCAUAAGGACAGCAUAGCUACUUGAAUCUGUUUUUCAUCUUAUAAUGUGUGUCACUAAUACAACCAAGGAAUUUUUUUGUUUUCCUAUAUAUAGAAUCCUAUUUCCCUAGGAUAUUAUAAUCUUGGUCACUUUAAAAGCAGCAUCACAAUGUCUUAUUCAAUUCUAAGGAACUCUUCUUCCCCUCCUGGUUCCCUAGUUAUUUCUCUCCUCUAUGCCUCCUCUUUUUCCUUAUUCGUAGG
This is a non-coding RNA of Python bivittatus (Burmese python), 1858 nucleotides long. Lineage: Eukaryota; Metazoa; Chordata; Lepidosauria; Squamata; Pythonidae. The record is from RefSeq and is a predicted model, not a curated record.